RNAcentral lists this unclassified non-coding RNA (853 nucleotides) under Hevea brasiliensis (rubber tree). The record is from RNAcentral. Lineage: Eukaryota; Viridiplantae; Streptophyta; Magnoliopsida; Malpighiales; Euphorbiaceae.
CUGUUCUGUUUAAGUAUAAGCAGGGAGCAGAUUCUGUGUUGGAGGUGAGUAAGGAUGAUUAUGAUAAGUGCAAUACUGGAAAUCCAAUUAAGAAAAUGGAGGAUGGAAACUCGAUUUUCACGUUGGAUCGGUCUGGUCCUUUUUACUUUAUCAGUGGGAACAAAGAUAACUGUGAUAAAGGCCAAAAGUUGCAAAUUGUUGUGAUUUCUGCUAGGAAUCAAGGUAAACCACCACAAACUCCGGCACCGGCAGUUGCUCCACCUACUCCUUCUGGAGGCUCAACUCCGGCAGCUGCUCCGUCUAAAGGAUCGGGUACACCGUCGGCACCUUCAGCUAACGCUCCGGCGGGAUCAUCUAAACCGGGUGCAUCGUCACCUAAUGGGGCACCGGUAUCUACUCCUGCAGGUAAAUCACCAACCUCAUCACCUACACCUUCCGGUUCAACCGCAUCUCCACCAUCUCCUGCGACCGUAACUCCGGCAAUGUCUCCGGUAGCAAAUGGACCGUCAACUAGUACACCAGGUUCUUCUUCACCUGUAGCAGGCGGACCAUCGUCAGGAAGCGGUAUUGCACCGUCGGCAGGCGGACCAUCUGGAAGCGCUAUUGCACCGGCGGCAGACGGACCAACAGUAAGUAUGUCACCGGGACCAUCGGCAGGAGGACCAUUGGCAGGCGGACCAUCGGAGGGAGCACCGGGAAGUAGUGCUUUAGGUCCCGGCGGCAGCAAUACUCCGGCGGACAUCAAUACGCCAGCUGGCGCACCAGAAAACCCAAAUUCAUUUGCAGUGAAGGCAUUUACUCCAUCAGUUGUACUUGUGUCAGCCGUUUCACUCGUUUUAACUGUGACUUUGGC